RNAcentral lists this ribosomal RNA (253 nucleotides) under uncultured bacterium. Its description in RNAcentral is "partial 16S ribosomal RNA". It matches the Rfam family "Bacterial small subunit ribosomal RNA", at positions 524 to 776 of the family's 1533-position model. The record is from RNAcentral.
UACGUAGGGUGCGAGCGUUGUCCGGAUUUAUUGGGCGUAAAGGGCUCGUAGGCGGCUUGUCGCGUCGGGAGUGAAAGCCCGCUGCUUAACGGCGGGUUUGCUUUCGGUACGGGCAGGCUGGAGUACGGCAGGGGAGACUGGAAUUCCUGGUGUAGCGGUGGAAUGCGCAGAUAUCAGGAGGAACGCCGGUGGCGAAGGCGGGUCUCUGGACAUUUCCUGACGCUGAGGCACGAAAGCCAGGGGAGCAAACGGG